CAUAGCCUCUCAAGAAAGUCCUCUGUUGCUCCAUCUGUCCCCCCCUCAGCCGCUGACAGAGACGCUCUAAUCACCUCGCGUUGCGAGGCUCACAUGGGAGACGGCUACACCAGCCACAAUGCUGCCUCAGAUAUAGAGCCGCUUACUGGAUGCCAAUACCUCACAGGGGAAACAGUCUGAGAAUUGCCCAGGAGUGCUUCAGAGUCAUAAAUCUGCCGAGUCUGACCCCGAUCCAAGGUUUCAUACAACACAUCAACGGAACGACCAAGCUUCUCAGCAAAAUGAAUAGAAAACUGUAAGCGCUCAGAUCGAGUUUGACUUCUCUUCCUGGCACAUACGAAGAGGACAGCGAAGAGGUACAAGCGAACACAGUGAACCCAGCUACCUUCCGCUGCCAGAACAUAUUGCUCAUCCUACAGCACUCUUCUUCAGAGUCUGCUCAGCAGCAGCCUUGUGAUGCCUUCGCCUCCACAAUGUGACUGACGAACGUUGCGAGGGAGCUGCAGAUUCCCGUAAGGAGUCGAGUCGUGGAAUCCUGCCCCGCUUUAAGUCACGUUUAAUGCCCUAUUACGCAGAUAGUUUUUAUUUCAACGCUGCAAAUUAGCGCUGAAUACCCUAAAGUAGUUUGGUGUCAUUACUGACACAGAUUUUUUUUUUCAUAGCAAUACAUCAUUUUCCCUUUUUUUUUUCCACGUCUUCCUUCAUUGAAAAUACAUCUCAGAGUGACUAAUGCGUUUUCUAUUCAUCGUUUUAAUGAUGCAUUACAAAUGUUCCCUUCAAUCAUGGAAAGUUGAGCCAUAUUUUCUUUGCUGUAGUUUGGAAUUGCUUUGUGCUUUUUUUUGUUGUUUUUCCCAGGAUUGUUCAGUAAACAUUGCAGCAGUCGGUGCAGCAAGUCCCAGUUCAUCCUGAGGAGAACACUGCCCUCUGGUGUGUGAUUGGUGGUAAUGCAGCCAUGCUCCACUUUUUUUCCCCCUCUUCUGAAAGCCCAGGAUGAGUCAGAUUGAGUCUCACUGGUCAAACAAACCGUUUGACACACGUUGGACUAAGGCUGCAACUAACAAUCGUUGUGAUCGAUUAUUCUGCUGAUUUUUCUGAUGAUUAAUCAGUU
Molecule: long non-coding RNA, 1108 nt
Organism: Poecilia reticulata (guppy)
Lineage: Eukaryota; Metazoa; Chordata; Actinopteri; Cyprinodontiformes; Poeciliidae
Source: RefSeq, a predicted model, not a curated record